CUGACCGAUUUGUGGAAAAAGAUCGCGGUAUGGGCGUAAAACAUCAGACAUACUUACCUCAGCAAUAAAUGAUUUACUAAUGACUUUGGGGGCAUUAUUGGCCUUGUGCAAGUCUUUUAGUAUGCAAAAAAGCACCGUUUUGUGUGCGAAUGCAGCAAAAAGGGUGAAAAAACAACAAACAGAAAAAAAGAUCAAAAAAGUACUUGUGCAAAAAAUUGGGAUCCCUAUAAUGCGCCUCCGUUGAGACGACAACGUGAAACACUUCACAAGAUGGUCGUAACAACGAAGAGAAAAAAUCCUGGAAUUCAGGGUUGACUCUGAAAGAGGAAAGCGUAAUAUACGCCACCUCGCGACAGUGAGCUGAAAGCCGCGUCGCAAC
RNAcentral lists this ribosomal RNA (379 nucleotides) under Escherichia coli B84. RNAcentral's name for it is "partial 23S ribosomal RNA". Lineage: Bacteria; Pseudomonadati; Pseudomonadota; Gammaproteobacteria; Enterobacterales; Enterobacteriaceae. The record is from RNAcentral.